Rosa rugosa (rugosa rose) is the source of this 515-nucleotide long non-coding RNA. RefSeq lists it as uncharacterized. The record is from RefSeq and is a predicted model, not a curated record. The transcript is spliced from 3 exons. NCBI's taxonomy places the organism in Eukaryota, Viridiplantae, Streptophyta, Magnoliopsida, Rosales, Rosaceae.
UUCAGUUCUGAUUUCUUCAACUCUGAUUCCAUAUAUAUAUGCAGUGGUAUAGCGUGCAGGAGGUUCAAAAGUCAUGUUAUGCAGCUUGAAGCCCUAUUGAGAGGAGUGGCGCCAAUGUUGACAGCAAUAGGUUGAGGACUAGCAAAAGAAAGAUCAAAAGGCCAAUAAAGUACAUUAACUACCGGGAUUAUACACGGUAUUAUGUGGAGUAAGGGCUACAUAGGAGGAAAGAUCGCUGCAGAUAAAGGUUUGAAGCUUGUUAAAGUCUAGUGUGGUCAAAGUCGUAACUAGUAUCUUCUAUCUCCUAAGAAUCAAGUUUUGCCUUGUCCACAAUGUCUGAAUAGUUCAACUGUUGGCUCAAUCAUUAUGUAACUGUUGGCUAGGUUUAGAGUUGGAACUAUGAAUUGUAUUUUGGAUGAUGUUGAUGCAAUGAAACAUAGGCAUCAUUUUGAAUGCUGAUUUUAGUCCAAUUUUAUGGUUUUGAUGAUUGUAGAUGAAUGAUGUUGAAAUUGUUG